CGAACGGGUGAGUAACGCGUGAGGAACCUGCCUCAAAGAGGGGGACAACAGUUGGAAACGACUGCUAAUACCGCAUAAGCGCACAGUACCGCAUGGUACAGUGUGAAAAACUCCGGUGGUGUGAGAUGGAUCCGCGUCUGAUUAGCUAGUUGGCAGGGCAACGGCCUACCAAGGCGACGAUCAGUAGCCGACCUGAGAGGGUGACCGGCCACAUUGGGACUGAGACACGGCCCAAACUCCUACGGGAGGCAGCAUG
Molecule: ribosomal RNA, 256 nt
Filed under: uncultured bacterium
Lineage: Bacteria
Description: partial 16S ribosomal RNA
Rfam family: Bacterial small subunit ribosomal RNA
Source: RNAcentral